CUGUGUCAGUGAUCUGCAGAGCCUGGGCUGCAACAACAGAGGGAAGACACUCAGGCAGCCGACUGUUAUCAGCAUCGAACAGAGGCAGAGCACCACACCGGUGACGUUUGACAACAACCCCUUCUUCCAGGAAUCUUGGCCCACCACCGUUCCUAGGGUGGAACUCUGCCUCCAGCCUUGGCUCUAUUCGGAGGACCAAGGCAGAGAGCAAACUCUUGCUGCCGCCUCGCCAGCUCCAGCUCCUUCAGAGCUGCCUCUACACACACCUUGUGUAACAGAACCGUCAGUUCAAGGACAUGAGCUAAAGCCCACUGAAAUCAAUGAGAGUCUUUCUAGAUCUUCAAUGGUUUUGAAUCUGGCCCUCCACUGAACAGACAGCACAAGGAAUGACAAGAGACCAUGGUGGAUGAAAGUAGGGGCAGGGAGAGAAAACGCUCAAAUGUUUUCUCAUUUUUAUGGCUGCAGUGCAAGGGUCAAAGAACCCUGAGAAGUGCCUCAGCCACGUCUCUCUCCUCCUGGCUCCCCUGCAGGGGCAGUCCCCAGUUUCUGUGGUUGGCACGAACAUCUUUUUCCUGCAAGAGGCUAAGAAGAUCAUCACCCCAUUUGUUUUUCACUCUCUGGUCCCAGGAGUCAAGCAAGAAUCCAAGCAACUGGGGAGGGGGGAGAGUAAGCAGCUUCAUGCUGGUUCUUGUGAAAUUUUCUGGGCUAUAAGAAGAUGUAAAUUAUGUGUAAGAUUCUUCACAGCUGGUGGCAAGUGAGGGAUAAUCAGCUAAUAAGUCCAACCAGGGGCUGCUGCGCACGUUUGUGCUUUGCCAGAAUGAGUUUUUAAAAAUACAAUCAAGUGCUCACCAUCAGCAAGGACAAACACUGAGCUACACGAGGGGCUUGGACGACAAACCCUCAGCCAAACCCUGAGAGGGAAAAUAGCUUGUAAGUGGAACUACUGGUCCUAGUCGCAGGAGUUUAAUGAAUUGAGUAGCAUGCAAGGCCUCAUGGCAAGAACUGAGGGCAGGGGAAAACUCUUGCUGUCUCUCCACACAGGCUCCUGGCUGCUCAAGGCAAUGCUUUUGCCUCUUCCAGCAAGCUGCAGUGCUGGGUGCAUGUGAUGCCUUACCAAGAGGAGCUAGGAGGGAAUGAAGACCCCAGGAUUCAAAGCCUGCUCUGAAGACCCAACUGCUGUGGUCUGCAACAGGUGGUGAAGACCCUAUUUUCUUUCCUGAGAGACAGACACAACUGCUCCAAGGCCUCCAUUCCCCAUUGCAGUACUGGAGUAAGAAUACAUUCCUGGGAUGCUGCAAGACCUAGACAGGGCAUAAAUAGAAAUGGAUCCAACCCACAAACUCAGAUCCAAGUUUCCUCAGAGUGGAGAGGUGCUUGGAUUUGGGAUGUGACGGAUAGUCCAGCCUUAUGUUUACCUAGGGCCCAACCUCAAGCUUGGGUCUAGGUUCAGCUCCAUAUUCUAAGAGGGGACCUGGAAUUUGGAUUCAGACCCAUCUGUGGCAGUCUGAGAGCCUUAGGAGAUAAGUGCUGUAUAGAAAUGCAAAAGCGCUGGCUCCUGCUCUCUUCUGACAGUUCCAUUCUCACGAUGUGUUAGUCACGAACCCUGGAAAAUUCAAAUACUAAGGAUGGAGGAUGCUUGGGGAUGGCGGGAAGACGCAUUUUCUGUAUGCGAUAACUCAGCAGCCACACGCGCAGGUGGCACAUUCGCAGAGGAGAUGGAAAGCGAGACCAACAGAAGCUCAAAGAGCAGGAAAAUAAAAGCAAGUGGAUGUGUAACACUGUAUUUAUUUCCUACUGUGCCUGGCGGGGACCAGGGUCUCUGAGGGGUGAGCCAGUCCCUGUGGAUUAGGAGAGCUUCACUGAGUUAUUAUAUAUAACACUGCAACUCUCACCAGUGCAAUGUCCCUCACGUUUAUUCAGCUUCCUUGCCUGUGCUGCCCUCUCUCUCUACAUGCCCUUGGAGUAGCUUUAUUUAUUUGGGCCCAUCUAACCCGUAUCACUAGUCUGGCUUGUGCCUCAGUAACAGCAACAUUGUUAGUACAGUUCAUCUGCAAGGCCAAGUUCUGCAUUCAGUUACCCUUGUGCCAAUGCUCAGAUAUCAAUGGACUGGCCCGGAUUCGACUUCAGGACAAAUGAGCAGACAAUGAAGUUUGCCUGUUAGUAAUUGAGGAUGGAAUUGACCUGCAGGGGUCUUAAUUAGUGAUGAUGAUGCUUGAGCCAGAAUGAACUCCACCUCUGAUCACAAGUGGAGGUUUCAGAUUGGUGAUUGUCAUUUUUUUAAACUUGUAAACCAGGUAGGGUGGAAUUGGAAAUCAGUGAUCAGCUCUGGACAGCAGCAUCCAACCAACAAGCAGAAGGCAGAAGAGGGACACAGAGGAGACCAGUGUGCUAGCCAACAAGAUUAAACACGAGGAGAGAAAUUAAGUGGUUUAUUAAACUUCUGUAGACACCGUGAAAGGAAAUCCACUAGAAUAGAUACUUGAACACAUCAUUAAAAGUCUUCUAUGUAGCAGCAUUCACUGUCCCCUGGGUUUAAUGGAACACGGCGAAUCGUCAAAGGUGCUUAAGAGACAGUUGCUAUAGACCUACACGCAGGUGAGUAAAUCCUAAAUGAACAGAGGGUGUUAAAACCAAUAUGCAGGUUUCAUAAUUGUGAAAAAAGCCAAGUGGCUGGAAGGGGUUCAUGGUUUUGACUUUCUAUUGUGCAUUAGUUAAAUAAAAAGGUACUAAUCAGU
Molecule: long non-coding RNA, 2735 nt
Organism: Dermochelys coriacea (leatherback sea turtle)
Lineage: Eukaryota; Metazoa; Chordata; Testudines; Dermochelyidae
Exons: 3
Source: RefSeq, a predicted model, not a curated record